ACUCUGAUGCAGCGAUGCCGCGUGAGUGAAGAAGGCCCUUGGGUUGUAAAGCUCUUUYNUCGGGGAAGAAAAUGACUGUACCCGAAUAAGAAGGUCCGGCUAACUUCGUGCCAGCAGCCGCGGUAAUACGAAGGGACCUAGCGUAGUUCGGAAUUACUGGGCUUAAAGAGUUCGUAGGUGGUUGAAAAAGUUAGUGGUGAAAUCCCAGAGCUUAACUCUGGAACUGCCAUUAAAACUUUUCAGCUAGAGUAUGAUAGAGGAAAGCAGAAUUUCUAGUGUAGAGGUGAAAUUCGUAGAUAUUAGAAAGAAUACCAAUUGCGAAGGCAGCUUUCUGGAUCAUUACUGACACUGAGGAACGAAAGCAUGGGUAGCGAANAGGAUUAGAUACCCUCGUAGUCCAUGCCGUAAACGAUGUGUGUUAGACGUUGGAAAUUUAUUUUCAGUGUCGCAGGGAAACCGAUAAACACACCGCCUGGGGAGUACGACCGCAAGGUUAAAACUCAAAUGA
RNAcentral lists this ribosomal RNA (508 nucleotides) under uncultured bacterium. RNAcentral's name for it is "bacterial SSU rRNA". It matches the Rfam family "Bacterial small subunit ribosomal RNA", at positions 380 to 908 of the family's 1533-position model. The record is from RNAcentral.